Molecule: transfer RNA, 75 nt
Filed under: Anaerolineae bacterium
Lineage: Bacteria; Bacillati; Chloroflexota; Anaerolineae
Description: tRNA-Thr
Rfam family: tRNA
About the family: Transfer RNA (tRNA) molecules are approximately 80 nucleotides in length. Their secondary structure includes four short double-helical elements and three loops (D, anti-codon, and T loops). Further hydrogen bonds mediate the characteristic L-shaped molecular structure. tRNAs have two regions of fundamental functional importance: the anti-codon, which is responsible for specific mRNA codon recognition, and the 3' end, to which the tRNAs corresponding amino acid is attached (by aminoacyl-tRNA synthetases). tRNAs cope with the degeneracy of the genetic code in two manners: having more than one tRNA (with a specific anti-codon) for a particular amino acid; and 'wobble' base-pairing, i.e. permitting non-standard base-pairing at the 3rd anti-codon position.
Source: RNAcentral
GCCGAGAUGGCAGAGCGGCUAUGCACCGUCCUCGUAAGACGGUCCACGUCGGUUCGAUUCCGACUCUCGGCUCCA